GAUGAACGCUGGCGGCGUGCCUAAUACAUGCAAGUCGAGCGAACAGACGAGGAGCUUGCUCCUCUGACGUUAGCGGCGGACGGGUGAGUAACACGUGGAUAACCUACCUAUAAGACUGGGAUAACUUCGGGAAACCGGAGCUAAUACCGGAUAAUAUAUUGAACCGCAUGGUUCAAUAGUGAAAGACGGUUUUGCUGUCACUUAUAGAUGGAUCCGCGCCGCAUUAGCUAGUUGGUAAGGUAACGGCUUACCAAGGCAACGAUGCGUAGCCGACCUGAGAGGGUGAUCGGCCACACUGGAACUGAGACACGGUCCAGACUCCUACGGGAGGCAGCAGUAGGGAAUCUGCCGCAAUGGGCGAAAGCCUGACGGAGCAACGCGGCGUGAGUGAUGAAGGUCUUCGGAUCGUAAAACUCUGUUAUUAGGGAAGAACAAAUGUGUAAGUAACUAUGCACGUCUUGACGGUACCUAAUCAGAAAGCCACGGCUAACUACGUG
This 497-nucleotide ribosomal RNA is filed under the name uncultured bacterium. RNAcentral's name for it is "partial 16S ribosomal RNA". It matches the Rfam family "Bacterial small subunit ribosomal RNA", at positions 28 to 507 of the family's 1533-position model. The record is from RNAcentral.